Molecule: transfer RNA, 65 nt
Filed under: Scaphisoma boleti
Lineage: Eukaryota; Metazoa; Arthropoda; Insecta; Coleoptera; Staphylinidae
Description: tRNA-Tyr
Source: RNAcentral
AAUGAGAUGGCUGAAGUUUAGGCGGUAAAUUGUAAAUUUAUUUAUGAAUAUGAAAUUCUUUCAUU